CCCCCACCUCACUUCCUCUUCCUAGUCUUCAUAGGUGCCUCACAACAGCGGGAGCCAUUUUGAAACCUUUCCCCUUCAUGCUGCUGAGCAUCUGCUGCUCUGUGUAAGGACCCUGCUGAAAGCCUGGUUACUGCAAGAGGUUAACAACCAUGCUCAUUUGGGAUGUUCAUCUUGAUUAUGGUUGCUUAGGUAGCCACAAAAGCCCAAGGAUUUUUGCUGACAAUAAGAAAAAGCUUGCUGACACUAUUAUUUGCUGAACCUUUCUCGAAAAAUAAUGGAUUAGUGUGGAAUGUGUUUCCAGCCAAUCAGAUGCCAACAAACAGAAACCCCAUCUGCACAAACAUGAAUGCAAGAGAUAUACAAGACUGCAAAAAUGUCUUUUAUCUGACAGUUGCCUUGACCUUAAGUAACCUCAUGGUUGCUGAAGACAAGAAUGAGAGAAAAUGGUCAAAAGCAACUGAACUGGACAAGUGAGAUAUUAUAAAUUUGAUCUUGCAUAUUGGUAUUUAUGCAAUACGUUAAUCUGUACAAAUAUUCUGUUAUGUCAGAAAAAUAAAAGUGAAAUGUAACAUGCAUUUUUCUAAAUAAAAUAUAUAAGUUGAAAUAAUA
This is a long non-coding RNA of Protopterus annectens (West African lungfish), 609 nucleotides long. RefSeq lists it as uncharacterized. The record is from RefSeq and is a predicted model, not a curated record. NCBI's taxonomy places the organism in Eukaryota, Metazoa, Chordata, Ceratodontiformes, Protopteridae. The transcript has 2 exons.